Molecule: ribosomal RNA, 788 nt
Filed under: Elusimicrobiota bacterium
Lineage: Bacteria; Pseudomonadati; Elusimicrobiota
Description: bacterial SSU rRNA
Rfam family: Bacterial small subunit ribosomal RNA
Source: RNAcentral
UGGAGAGUUUGAUCCUGGCUCAGAGUUAACGCUGGCGGCGUGCCUAACACAUGCAAGUCGAACGGAGCGUACCAGAAUAUCGGGCGCUUAGUGGCAGACGGGUGAGUAAUACUUAAGCAAUUUGCCCUCAAAUGGGAGAUAACUCGGCGAAAGCCGGACUAAUACCCCAUAUAAUCCUCCGGAGGCAUCAUCGGGGGAUGAAAGGCCCGCAAGGGUCGUUUGAGGAGAAGCUUGAGACCUAUCAGCUAGUUGGCGGUGUAANNGAAUAAGCCACGGCUAACUACGUGCCAGCAGCCGCGGUAAUACGUAGGUGGCGAGCGUUACUCGGAUUUACUAGGCGUAAAGCGUGUGUAGGCGGGAGCUUAAGUUCGUUGUUAAAUUCCAGGGCUUAACCCUGGACUGUCGACGAAUACUGGGCUUCUUGAGUGAGGUAGGGGAAACUGGAAUUCCAGGUGUAGCGGUGAAAUGCGUAGAUAUCUGGAAGAACGCCAAAGGCGAAGGCAGGUUACUGGGCCGCAAUUGACGCUGAGACACGAAAGCUAGGGGAGCAAACAGGAUUAGAUACCCUGGUAGUCCUAGCCGUAAACGAUGUAGACCAGGUGUGGGGGGUAUCGACCCCUCCCGCGCCGACGCUAACGCAUUAAGUCUACCGCCUGGGGAGUACGACCGCAAGGUUAAAACUCAAAGGAAUUGACGGGUCCCCGCACAAGCAGCGGAGCGUGUGGUUUAAUUCGAUGUUACACGAAGAACCUUACCCGGGUUUGACAUACAAGUGGUAGUGAAACGAA